AGAGUUUGAUCCUGGCUCAGAACGAACGCUUGCGGCGUGCUUAACACAUGCAAGUCGAACGAGAAAGGGGACUUCGGUUCCUGAGUAAAGUGGCGCACGGGUGAGUAACGCGUAGAUAAUCUACCCUAGUGUACGGGACAACAUCGGGAAACUGGUGCUAAUACCGAAUACGCUUCUUUAGAUGCGAAUUUUAAGAAGGAAAGGUGGCCUCUUCAUGAAAGCUACUGCACAAGGAUGAGUCUGCGUACCAUUAGCUAGUUGGUGGGGUAAUGGCCUACCAAGGCUUCGAUGGUUAGCGGGUCUGAGAGGAUGAUCCGCCACACUGGCACUGGAACACGGGCCAGACUCCUACGGGAGGCAGCAGUGAGGAAUUUUGCACAAUGGGGGCAACCCUGAUGCAGCGAC
This 405-nucleotide ribosomal RNA is filed under the name uncultured bacterium. RNAcentral describes it as "bacterial SSU rRNA". It matches the Rfam family "Bacterial small subunit ribosomal RNA", at positions 8 to 395 of the family's 1533-position model. The record is from RNAcentral.